Molecule: ribosomal RNA, 253 nt
Filed under: uncultured bacterium
Lineage: Bacteria
Description: partial 16S ribosomal RNA
Rfam family: Bacterial small subunit ribosomal RNA
Source: RNAcentral
UACGUAGGGGGCAAGCGUUGCCCGGAAUCAUUGGGCGUAAAGAGCGCGUAGGCGGCCCAGUAAGUCCGCUCUGAAAGUCAGAGGCUCAACCUCUGGAUGCGGGUGGAUACUGCUGGGCUAGAGUCCGGAAGAGGCGAGUGGAAUUCCUGGUGUAGCGGUGAAAUGCGCAGAUAUCAGGAGGAACACCGAUGGCGAAGGCAGCUCGCUGGGACGGUACUGACGCUGAGGCGCGAAAGCGUGGGGAGCAAACAGG